AUGAACGCUAGCGAUAGGCUUAACACAUGCACGUCGAGGGGCAGCAUGGUCUUAGCUUGCUAAGACUGAUGGCGACCGGCGCACGGGUGCGUAACGCGUAUGCAACUUGCCUCACAGAGGGGGAUAACCCGUCGAAAGACGGACUAAUACCGCGUACACUUGGGAUAGGGCAUCCUGACCCAAGGAAAUGAAAUUCGCUGUGAGAUAGGCAUGCGUCCCAUUAGCUAGUUGGUGAGGUAACGGCUCACCAAGGCGACGAUGGGUAGGGGAACUGAGAGGUUGAACCCCCACACUGGUACUGAGACACGGACCAGACUCCUACGGGAGGCAGCAGUGAGGAAUAUUGGUCAAUGGGCGAGAGCCUGAACCAGCCAAGUCGCGUGAAGGAUGACUGUCUUAUGGAUUGUAAACUUCUUUUAUACGGGAAUAACAAGAGUCACGUGUGGCUCCCUGCAUGUACCGUAUGAAUAAGCAUCGGCUAACUCCGUG
This 489-nucleotide ribosomal RNA is filed under the name uncultured bacterium. RNAcentral describes it as "partial 16S ribosomal RNA". It matches the Rfam family "Bacterial small subunit ribosomal RNA", at positions 29 to 507 of the family's 1533-position model. The record is from RNAcentral.